This is an unclassified non-coding RNA of Bombyx mandarina (wild silkworm), 2027 nucleotides long. The record is from RefSeq and is a predicted model, not a curated record. NCBI's taxonomy places the organism in Eukaryota, Metazoa, Arthropoda, Insecta, Lepidoptera, Bombycidae.
UGGUUCCGGCAGACAAACGGCCAUUUUUGUAACAAUUCUUGCACGCGCUCAACUGAUGUGACGCCGUCGUGCUAUACUAAAGUGAAAUUAACAACAUUGUAUUAUUCAAUUUGUUUGAUUUGAGCUGAAUAUCUAUACUACUCAAAAUGAGUUACGGAAGACCUCCGCCACGAAUCGAUGGCAUGGUCUCGUUAAAAGUAGAUAAUCUUACCUACCGAACGACGCCUGAAGACUUACGCCGCGUUUUCGAAAGGUGCGGAGAAGUUGGUGAUAUCUACAUUCCCAGAGAUCGGUACACAAGGGAAAGUAGAGGAUUCGCCUUCGUGAGGUUUUUCGAGCGUCGUGACGCUGAAGAAGCCCUGGACACGAUGGACGGACGAAUGUUGGACGGCAGGGAACUUCGCGUUCAGAUGGCGCGAUAUGGUCGCCCCUCAUCGCCAUACAGGAGUCGUUACGAUCGCAGGCGCAGGUCCAGGUCUCGUUCCCGCCGUCGUAGUUACUCGCGCAGUCGUAGCCGCAGCCGUUCCCGCAGUCGCUCUCGCUCUGACUCAAAGAGUUCCAGGGGACGUUCCCGCUCACACAGUCGUUCUCGCUCACGAUCCAGACACUGAAAUGUCCUUAUGGUGUGAGAGUGUACCUGUUGAGAGCUGAAGUGCUGUACUAGACGAUUGAGCAGCCUUUAGCCAAGGUACUAAUCACAACUAUUAUAUAAGCCACCCUCAGACCUAACUAUGGUGAACAUAGUGACAACACAUUCAAUGUAACAAAUUAUCUAUAAGUUUCUAUAGGUUAACUUACUACAUUUAAGAUUGUAUUCAUUUCUUUUUAUUUUCAUUGUGUGUGACUGUUUCAUCUUUAUAAAAAAAAGGAAAUUAUGGCGUGUGCUACCUCUCUUGGGAUUGUAAUAUUAAUUGGAUUUAAAUUUUUAUCUUAGUAUGUGUAGCUUUAUAUUUUUUGUCUUCUGACUUUCUUGAGGUUUUAAAAUUUAAUGAAUUUUAAAUAAUUGGUACAAUAUUAGAUGUGAUGUGGGAGCGGUUAGAUAUUAUUUCAGGUUCAUAAAACAAUCUGGAAGACUAAACCACUACAAGGAUUAUUUGGGCUAACUUGGGCAUUAAUUUGUGAACUCCAAUUUUGGUAAUGAUAAAAUUUCAUAAAACAAUGUCCCUAAUACUUAAAAAUGCUAAUAAUUGAGUACUGGGUUGUUGAAGAUGUAUCUGAGUGUAAAAAUAAUUUGCAUAUAACUAUUAAUACUAAUGUAAUAUGACCCAACCUAAUACUCAGGAUUGUAUUAUGUAGAAUUCUUACGUAUGUAAAUUUAAUUACUUCAAGAUUAACUGAUGAAUUGGUAUGCUCAGGGCGUGAGGUGAGCGCGUGGAGCGUUGCUGUGUGCGGGGAGGGGGUUGUGUGCGCUGUUUGCUGACAAACGCGGAAUUGCCGUAAUUGCAGUAUCAAAGUUAUGAGUAAAUCUUUGUAUUUAUUGCCCAACCGACACAUGCAUUUUGUACAAAAUUAAUGACACGUUGCUAUAUAAUAAUAUAGCAUUACAAAAAAAAUAAAAAAAUUAUAAAAUGUAAGUAUAUAAAAGAUCUUUAUUCCUAUGAUAAACAAACUUUAUAUCAACAAUAUUGAUGCAAAAGAGUUGAUAUAGUAAGUAAAAUGUGUGCACAGAUUUCUAGUAGUAAUCAGAACAAUAAUGCAUCAGAAACAAACCCAGAGGCUGUAUGUUGUUGGAGCACAGACUGCACUAACAUUUGCAUUUGUUUAACAGGCCGGUGCUGCUCGCUGGCCUGUAUGCUGUUGCAGUCUUCUAUGCUGUUUCGAGCUCGUCUAGGUUCUUAUCGGUAACCCCCUGCCCUCCUUUGUGUGCAUUGCCUUUAAACUUGUAGUUUGAGCAUGACUUGCUGUAAAAGGUUUGUAGCAAGCGUCUUUUGCUUUCAAUGUAUUUAGAAGAGAAGAUCGUCACACAUGGAUCAGCUACAGGAUUUUGUCGUAGGUUUUUUUGUCAAAUAAAAUAAUAACUAUGUAAA